GUCAUCCUCCGCUCCAGGAAGCAUCUUGCCGGGGUUGGGGUCAAUCCCGGGCAGGCCUGAGGAGGAGAGCGGGCGGCCUCCGUCAGUCCUCUCCGGUGAGGCCUUUGACAAGAGGGGCCAAGAUCGAUGCUACCAAGUGCCAUUUGCUUCAGUGCAUUUUGUUUGAUGUGAGUUCUUCCUCAGCUUCUUCUUUGAUGGAAUUUUUGUUCCUGCUACAAUGGACAGUCAGCGACCAUGGCCUCUGAAAUUCUAUCUGUUCGUGGCCUUGGAGAGCUGACACUUUGCUUCUUGUGCAGGAAUCUGUUCAUGAAGGAAUCUGCAGUCCUAACAAAGAAGAUGGAAAGAGUACUCCUGGAAAGUGAAA
RNAcentral lists this long non-coding RNA (364 nucleotides) under Triticum aestivum (bread wheat). RNAcentral describes it as "long non-coding RNA (TAES_LNC010000)". Lineage: Eukaryota; Viridiplantae; Streptophyta; Magnoliopsida; Poales; Poaceae. The record is from RNAcentral.